Carcharodon carcharias (great white shark) is the source of this 533-nucleotide long non-coding RNA. RefSeq lists it as uncharacterized. Lineage: Eukaryota; Metazoa; Chordata; Chondrichthyes; Lamniformes; Lamnidae. The record is from RefSeq and is a predicted model, not a curated record. The transcript is spliced from 3 exons.
UUGAUAUGAUGCCUGUUUGAGCGCAGGAGAUCGCUUCCACAGCCUUGUCAAGCUACGAUGUCUUUCGAUGGUUUUGAAUGCUUUUAAUGAAUCCUGUAGGACAGGAUCAUAUUUUUGAGAGCUUCGAUACUCACUCCAAAUUACACCAUUUGAAGUCAGGCCAGCAGUGAAUACUUAUGAACUUUUAUAAACGCUGAACUGAUGUCAGAUGUUUCAGUGUCAAGUGGCUAUGAGUGAGACAUCAACUAGACACUUAGGUUUUCUUUCAUCUCCAAAUGGUUCCUGAGGCCUGCCUGUAGUGGAUACUGGGUGACCGGCUAUGGAGAUGGCAUGCCUUCACUCCUCCAUUUACAUGGACAACAUAAUCUCCUGAGCUAUAAAAAGAAACAGCCAAAGUUGAAGCAUACCAUUGGAAAAUGCUGCUUUAAUGCCACAGAUCCAUCGGUGCCCAAAAUCAGAAAGGAACAGGUUAAUAUCUUUGUUGUGGAUGAUUUAACAGAACUGGAAAGUGGAAGAUAAAUGGACUUUUUAAU